GAUGAACGCUGGCGGCGUGCCUAAUACAUGCAAGUCGAGCGAACAGACGAGGAGCUUGCUCCUCUGACGUUAGCGGCGGACGGGUGAGUAACACGUGGAUAACCUACCUAUAAGACUUGGAUAACUUCGGGAAACCGGAGCUAAUACCGGAUAAUAUAUUGAACCGCUUGGUUCAAUAGUGAAAGACGGUUUUGCUGUCACUUAUAGAUGGAUCCGCGCCGCAUUAGCUAGUUGGUAAGGUAACGGCUUACCAAGGCAACGAUGCGUAGCCGACCAGAGAUGGUGAUCGGCCACACUGGAACGGAGACACGGUCCAGACUCCUACGGGAGGCAGCAGUAGGGAAUCUUCCGCAAUGGGCGAAAGCCUGACGGAGCAACGCCGCGUGAGUGAUGAAGGUCUUCGGAUCGUAAAACUCUGUUAUUAGGGAAGAACAAAUGUGUAAGUAACUAUGCACGUCUUGACGGUACCUAAUCAGAGAGCCACGGCUAACUACGUG
This 497-nucleotide ribosomal RNA is filed under the name uncultured bacterium. Its description in RNAcentral is "partial 16S ribosomal RNA". It matches the Rfam family "Bacterial small subunit ribosomal RNA", at positions 28 to 507 of the family's 1533-position model. The record is from RNAcentral.